CACGUAGGGGGCGAGCGUUGUCCGGAUUUAUUGGGCGUAAAGAGCUCGUAGGCGGUUUCGUAAGUCGGAUGUGAAAACUCCAGGCUCAACUUGGAGACGCCAUUCGAUACUGCGAUGACUUGAGUCCGGUAGGGGAGUGUGGAAUUCCUGGUGUAGCGGUGAAAUGCGCAGAUAUCAGGAGGAACACCGGUGGCGAAGGCGGCAUCCUGGACCAACACUGACGCUGAGGAGCGAAAGCCAGGGGAGCAAACGGG
Molecule: ribosomal RNA, 254 nt
Filed under: uncultured bacterium
Lineage: Bacteria
Description: partial 16S ribosomal RNA
Rfam family: Bacterial small subunit ribosomal RNA
Source: RNAcentral